This 86-nucleotide ribosomal RNA is filed under the name Limosilactobacillus albertensis. RNAcentral's name for it is "Limosilactobacillus sp. Lr3000 partial 23S ribosomal RNA". It matches the Rfam family "Bacterial large subunit ribosomal RNA", at positions 1 to 85 of the family's 2925-position model. The record is from RNAcentral. Lineage: Bacteria; Bacillati; Bacillota; Bacilli; Lactobacillales; Lactobacillaceae.
AGGUUAAGUUAUGAAGGGCGCAUGGUGAAUGCCUUGGUACUAGGAGCCGAUGAAGGACGGGACUAACACCGAUAUGCUUCGGGGAG